UUCUCUCCUGCUUAAACCCUGCUGCUCAUUCUGACUUCGCCGGCGAUACCCACCACCACCACACCGACGACCUUCCAUCUGUCGUCGCCAACCACACCAUGAAAAAAUCCUCUCCCGCCUCUUUGCUGGUCGCCACCGACACCGUCCCUGGAUCUGCUGGCCUUGUCAACAUCUCUGACCAUUUUUUAUUUCAAUUUUAGUUGCUCUGGAAUUGUAUAAUUUGGUUUGAAGGUUUGAUAUUU
Molecule: long non-coding RNA, 242 nt
Filed under: Glycine max (soybean)
Lineage: Eukaryota; Viridiplantae; Streptophyta; Magnoliopsida; Fabales; Fabaceae
Description: long non-coding RNA (GMAX_LNC002983)
Source: RNAcentral